Molecule: ribosomal RNA, 492 nt
Filed under: uncultured bacterium
Lineage: Bacteria
Description: partial 16S ribosomal RNA
Rfam family: Bacterial small subunit ribosomal RNA
Source: RNAcentral
AGUGAACGCUGGCGGUAGGCCUAACACAUGCAAGUCGAACGGCAGCACAGUAAGAGCUUGCUCUUACGGGUGGCGAGUGGCGGACGGGUGCGGAAUACAUCGGAAUCUACUUUUUCGUGGGGGAUAACGUAGGGCAACUUACGCUAAUACCGCAUACGACCUACGUGUGUAUGCAGGGGAUCUUCGGACCUUGCGCGAUUGUAUGAUCCGAUGUCGGAUUAGCUAGUUGGCGGGGUAAAGGCCCACCAAGGCGACGAUCCGUAGCCGGUCUGAGAGGAUGGUCGGCCAAACUGGAACGGGGACACGGUCCAGACUCCUAGGGGAGGCAGCAGUGGGGAAUAUUGGAAAAUGGGGGCAAGCCUGAUGCGGCCAGCCCGGGGGGGGGAAGAAGGCCUUGGGGUUGUAAAGUCCUUUUGUUGGGAAAAAAAAGGAGGAGGGUAAAACCCCCCUGUUCUGACGGUACCCAAAGAAAAAGCAACGGCUAACUUCGUG